AGAUCAACUUUCACAAAAUUGGUUUGAGGCAACUUACAUCUGCCAAGGACAUCAAUCUGUAGUCUGUUGUACAAUGGACAUGAUCAUUCAUUCAGAUAAGAGAUGUGAACGCGAUGUUUGAUCAUUUUUUUAGACGUGACACUUUCUUUGAGUAGUCUUCUUCAUCGUCAUCCUGAUCAUUUUUAGACGAAGCGAUCUUUGAUUAGUUGUCUUCGUUCCCUUGCCUUCCUGAUCACUUUUAGAUGCGCAAGUGCUCUUUGAUUAGU
Molecule: unclassified non-coding RNA, 266 nt
Filed under: Hevea brasiliensis (rubber tree)
Lineage: Eukaryota; Viridiplantae; Streptophyta; Magnoliopsida; Malpighiales; Euphorbiaceae
Source: RNAcentral